This 301-nucleotide ribosomal RNA is filed under the name uncultured bacterium. Its description in RNAcentral is "partial 16S ribosomal RNA". It matches the Rfam family "Bacterial small subunit ribosomal RNA", at positions 509 to 807 of the family's 1533-position model. The record is from RNAcentral.
CAGUCGCCACGGUAAUACGAAGGGUGCAAGCGUUACUCGGAAUUACUGGGCGUAAAGCGUGCGUAGGUGGUGGUUUAAGUCCGUUGUGAAAGCCCUGGGCUCAACCUGGGAAUUGCAGUGGAUACUGGAUCACUAGAGUGUGGUAGAGGAUAGUGGAAUCUCCGGUGUAGCAGUGAAAUGCGUAGAGAUCGGAAGGAACAUCUGUGGCGAAGGCGACUAUCUGGGCCAACACUGACACUGAGGCACGAAAGCGUGGGGAGCAAACAGGAUUAGAUACCCGCGUAGUCCCUGUCUCUUAUAC